UGCGGAAGGAUCAUUAAAGAUUAUGAAUGAAUAGAUUGCUGGGGGAAUCGUCUGAACAAGGCCUGCGCUUAAUUGCGCGGCCAAUUCUUGAUUCUCUGCUAUCAGUUUUCUAUUUCUCAUCCUAAACACAAUGGAGUUUUUUCUCUAUGAACUACUUCCCUGGAGAGCUCGUCUCUCCAGUGGACAUAAACACAAACAAUAUUUUGUAUUAUGAAAAACUAUUAUACUAUAAAAUUUAAUAUUCAAAACUUUCAACAACGGAUCUCUUGGUUCUCGCAUCGAUGAAGAACGCAGCGAAUUGCGAUAUGUAUUGUGAAUUGCAGAUUUUCGUGAAUCAUCAAAUCUUUGAACGCACAUUGCGCCCUCUGGUAUUCCAGGGGGCAUGCCUGUUUGAGCGUCAUUUCUCUCUCAAACCUUUGGGUUUGGUAGUGAGUGAUACUCGUCUCGGGUUAACUUGAAAGUGGCUAGCCGUUGCCAUCUGCGUGAGCAGGGCUGCGUGUCAAGUCUAUGGACUCGACUCUUGCACAUCUACGUCUUAGGUUUGCGCCAAUUCGUGGUAAGCUUGGGUCAUAGAGACUCAUAGGUGUUAUAAAGACUCGCUGGUGUUUGUCUCCUUGAGGCAUACGGCUUUAACCAAAACUCUCAAAGUUUGACCUCAAAUCAGGUAGGAGUACCCGCUGAACUUAAGCAUA
Molecule: ribosomal RNA, 692 nt
Filed under: Kluyveromyces marxianus
Lineage: Eukaryota; Fungi; Ascomycota; Saccharomycetes; Saccharomycetales; Saccharomycetaceae
Description: eukaryotic LSU rRNA
Rfam family: 5.8S ribosomal RNA (bases 247-400)
Source: RNAcentral